Molecule: long non-coding RNA, 2033 nt
Organism: Portunus trituberculatus (swimming crab)
Lineage: Eukaryota; Metazoa; Arthropoda; Malacostraca; Decapoda; Portunidae
Exons: 3
Source: RefSeq, a predicted model, not a curated record
UCUCAGCGGUGAGGUGACGUGUUCUCCUGCUGUUGCUCCUGCUUGUGUUGCUGCUUCUGCUUCUGCUUCCUCCCACCCCCGUCACCGCCACCUGCCACAUUUCAGGCAUGAAGUUUGUGGUGUCGUAUGGGUGCAAGGAUCGAGAACGGCUAGGCAAGCUGGGUGGUGUCCGCAGCCAGCCUGAUAGUAUCCACACCACUCCCACAAAGGAGGCAGUGCAGCACAUCUCACGCAGGCUUUUGGAGGUCCAGUGGCACACUGCUUUCAUAAAAGUGUGUGCAGAGUGCAAGACAGAGACGGGCAAGGAUGGAGGACGCUUCAACAUUCACAGCAUCAUUGGUUCAUGUUUUCUUUUUUGUGGAAAGUAGUGUACACAGUUUUACCCGAAGGAUUACAUGUCAUCAUUCACAUUCAUAGAUUUAAUGACUUAACAUUGUGCAUCAGAUCACUUCAGUACAUGUUAGCGUAUAUUUAGCUACAAGGAGCAACGGUUUAUAAAAUUUGUAAUAUAUGAAAGUGACUUGUAACAGAUCUUGCAUUAUAAGAUUUGUUUUCAGGUCUUUGUUUAUUAGCAUGAUCUAGUUGUGUCAGUCUUAACAGUCCAGAUUGUACAGACAUGAACAGACAUGCACUUCCUGCCGAUGGAAUUUCAGUCAACACUGCAAGGUGUGUGUGUGUGUGUGUGUGUGUGUGCACAGCUUUGUGGGCAAGUGUGCCAGUCAUUCCUUGAUGUCAAUGGCUUUCAUUAAGGGGUAAAAUGUGUAUAAUUAGGUUUAUAUACAUUCAUGGGUGAGAAUAUUUAGACUGACUAAAUAGUAAGUUUCUCAACUUUCUAGAGCUUUGCUGUUACUGUUUUGUGCAAGAUUUCAGGGGCCGUAUUCUACAAACCAUCAUAGCUAAUGACGUGAUCGUAGCAAGACAAAAUGGUGCAUUUUAGACAAGUCCCUCUAUGACAGGCUCUAACCUUGUGAUUCGUCUUAAGUCCCAAGACAAGGUUCACCCUGUUGUAGCACCGCCAACCGCCGUCUUAAAACUCUUGUCAACAUGGUGGGAACUUGCCUGUAUGUACACCAUACCAUGACCUCUGACAGUUUUUUAUUAUUCAUUGAUGAUAAAUAUCCGUAAUUAUGACUAAAUAAUAUCUUUCUUUGAUGCAGUAAUUUUCCAUUAUAGAUAACUGCCGAGAUCAGUUUUCCCCAAACUCAAACAAACCUUGCCCCGCGUGGCCUGCAUGUGUCGUAAUCUUCUGUUUGUCAUGUUUCUUUUUUUUUUUUUUUGGAUACGCAAUCUAACAAGUAAUAUUAUGAUGUUAAAGAUAAUUUAAAUUGUAGAAGAUUAUGUCAAGGAGCUAUUUCUUUCUACACAAGUAAUGACAAGUAAUGAACUUAAAAACCAACAGUGGAGUGACGGUCAGGCAUUCAGUGAGACCUGAGGCUAACUGUGUAGAAUGCGGCCCCAGAAUGAUGGUCUGUUUUUUUAUUUAUGGUGACGAUAUUGUGUUGUUAGGGACAACAUGCUGUUUGAGAGCAAUGCCAUUGUGAUAUGCUUAAAAAAAUAUUUUACGGAGUCAAUUGCUCCUGCUAGACUUCUGCAAUGAAAAUUAUCUUAAAAUAUUUUUAGGACUUGUAGUUACCAAGACUUGUGCAAUGGAAGUGCUUUCAAAUUACUACUCUUAUAUUUACUUUUUGUUAUAUUAGACAAAUGUAUGGAUGACAGUGAUAGUGGAAUGAGGUAGACCUGUUCAUACGGUGACUGGUGCUUUGUACGUGCAAGCCUCAUGGUCCCUCUUGCAACUUCCCUCAUUUUUGUCACAUCUAAAAUUUCGUGAAUUGAAAAAUACUUUGAGUAAUGUAACACUUGAAGAAAUUGUUCCAAGUUGAAAACUGCAUAAAUAAGUUGAUAAUGUAGAAAUUGUGAUACUCCACUGUAAAAUUUAUAAAUUGUGAUACUCCACUGUAAAAAUUUAUAAGUCGAAAAUUUCGGUAGAGUUUUCUGAGGUUAACAAAUGUGUUGAUUGGAUAAAAAAGGAAGUA